This is a long non-coding RNA of Gossypium arboreum, 675 nucleotides long. RefSeq lists it as uncharacterized. Lineage: Eukaryota; Viridiplantae; Streptophyta; Magnoliopsida; Malvales; Malvaceae. The record is from RefSeq and is a predicted model, not a curated record. The transcript has 2 exons.
AAAAUGUGAGCAAGUUGGUAGCUACAUUAAAAAAAGGAUUUACCUUCCAUCUUCCCUUAAACACUUAAAUUUCCCAUCAUCUUCUUCUGGAAAUUUCUUCAUCCUAUAUUCCUUGUACAAAAUCCAGUCUCAUUAGGGUGUUAAUAAUGAAGAAGAUUAUCUAGUUCGUACAAGAUCAUAUCCACGUAUCGAGAUUAUUAAGCGAGGACGAACUUGAUGUUGAGGUAUUUUUGCACUAACUCAUUCGUUUUUAUGUUUCUUCUAACAACGUUGGUCUUAGUUUCACCGUUGGUGAUACCGGAAUUGCCGCCCCCGCCGUUGAUACUUCUCUUCAUUCCUGUAUUGUUAAUGUCGCUUCUUGUUUGCUUGGCCUUAUCUCCAUCAAGAUAUCCAAAUAUCGGCAUAGCUUCCGUUUGAGGAUUAAGAAGGGAAAGGUGGAAGUUGAUGCGGUGGAGCACUGAGGUGAAGGUAGGGAAGGAAGCUUUCUACAGAAGAGUUUUUUGGGUUAAGGAAAAUGGAGUGACACAGGUAGUGUGUAUCAGCUGUUUGCAUGGUUUUUUUUUUUUUUUUUAUAGCGCAAGGUAAGCUUAGCUACUAUCUUGAGGUUAUUAAUGCAGAAGUUUGAUUUCAUAUUUCAGGCAAUGACAUAUUAUGAUAAAAGAUGUUUUGAGAUAA